RNAcentral lists this ribosomal RNA (504 nucleotides) under Burkholderia sp. C2PN15. RNAcentral describes it as "bacterial SSU rRNA". It matches the Rfam family "Bacterial small subunit ribosomal RNA", at positions 21 to 495 of the family's 1533-position model. The record is from RNAcentral. Lineage: Bacteria; Pseudomonadati; Pseudomonadota; Betaproteobacteria; Burkholderiales; Burkholderiaceae.
GGCUCAGAUUGAACGCUGGCGGCAUGCCUUACACAUGCAAGUCGAACGGCAGCACGGGGGCAACCCUGGUGGCGAGUGGCGAACGGGUGAGUAAUACAUCGGAACGUGUCCUGUAGUGGGGGAAUAGGCCCGGGCGAAAAGCCCGGAAUUAAAUAACCGGCAUAACGAUCCUAAAGGGAAGAAAAGGCGGGGGGAUCUUUCGGAACCUUCGCGCUUAUAAGGGGCGGCCGAUGGCAGAUUAGCUAGUUGGUGGGGUUAAAGGCCUACCAAGGCGACGAUCUGUAGCUGGUCUGAGAGGACGACCAGCCACACUGGGACUGAGACACGGCCCAGACUCCUACGGGAGGCAGCAGUGGGGAAUUUUGGACAAAUGGGGGAAACCCUGAUCCAGCACAUGCCGCGUGUGUGAAGAAGGCCUUCGGGUUGUAAAGCACUUUUGUCCGGAAAGAACACUUCCUGGUUCAUACCUGGGGAGGCUGACGGUACCGGAAGCAAUAAGCACCG